GGGAUUGCCUCAGUACCGGCGAGUGAAGCGGCAACAGCUCAAAUUUGAAAUCUGGCCCCCUCGGGGUCCGAGUUGUAAUUUGUAGAGGGUGCUUCGGCUUACGGCGCGGUCUAAGUUCCUUGGAACAGGACGUCACAGAGGGUGAGAAUCCCGUACGUGGCCGCGCUCUCCGCCAUGUGAAGCCCCUUCGACGAGUCGAGUUGUUUGGGAAUGCAGCUCUAAAUGGGAGGUAAAUUUCUUCUAAAGCUAAAUAUCAGCCAGAGACCGAUAGCGCACAAGUAGAGUGAUCGAAAGAUGAAAAGCACUUUGGAAAGAGAGUUAAAAAGUACGUGAAAUUGUUGAAAGGGAAGCGCUUGCGACCAGACUUGACCGCGGAUGCUCAGCCGGCCCUCCGGCCGGUGUAUUCUUCCGCGGUCAGGCCAGCAUCGGUUUGGGCGGCCGGAUAAAGGCCCCGGGAAUGUGGCUCCCCUCGGGGAGUGUUAUAGCCCAGGGUGCAAUGCGGCCCGCCCGGACCGAGGACCGCGCUUCGGCUAGGAUGCUGGCGUAAUGGUCGUAAGCGGCCCGUCUUGAAACACGGACCAAGGAGUCUAACAUCUAUGCGAGUGUUUGGGUGUCAAACCCGUGCGCGUAAUGAAAGUGAACGGAGGUGGGAACCCUUUGGGCGCACCAUCGACCGAUCCUGAUGUCUUCGGAUGGAUUUGAGUAAGAGCAUAGCUGUUGGGACCCGAAAGAUGGUGAACUAUGCGCGGAUAGGGUGAAGCCAGAGGAAACUCUGGUGGAGGCUCGCAGCGGUUCUGACGUGCAAAUCGAUCGUCAAAUCUACGCAUAGGGGCGAAAGA
RNAcentral lists this ribosomal RNA (839 nucleotides) under Honghemyces pterolobii. Its description in RNAcentral is "Bezerromycetaceae sp. DNW-2021a partial large subunit ribosomal RNA". It matches the Rfam family "Eukaryotic large subunit ribosomal RNA", at positions 71 to 930 of the family's 3401-position model. Lineage: Eukaryota; Fungi; Ascomycota; Dothideomycetes; Tubeufiales; Bezerromycetaceae. The record is from RNAcentral.